UAUUAAGAUAUAAUACUAAAUCAUGUUUGCUGAUUUCUUUAAUUUUCUGUGUUAAAUUACUUAUAUAACCUAUAAAUUUAUAAAACCUAUAACCUAUAAAUCAGUCAAAUAAUAUGGCUACCUGGAUUACAGUGACACCGCGGCUUGAACAAGGUUUGAAAAUAGCAAAUCAAAUAGACAAUGGUAAAUUUCGCUUAUUAAUAAAUCGUAUUUGUCAAACACUUCAAUCCAAUAUUAAUACAAAAAUAUUCAAUGAAGAGGAAGAAGAAAAACUAUUAAUUUCUUUGGAUUUAAAUAAAAAUGAUUUAGUUUGUCUUUUAGAUACAAUAAUAUUAAUUUAUAAACAAGCUGCUUGCAAUAUUGUAAAACCACAAUUAAUGGAAAGUACUUUAAAGAAUACUUUUAAAACAGAUGAUGAUAAAUGUUUAAUAUUUUUAAAUGCAUGGUUUAUAUAUGGUAAAGGUAUAAUUGAUCAUUUUAGACAAAUGUCAAUAUUUCCUGUUCAGGUUAAAGAUAUUGAUUGGAGUUUAAAUAUUCAAGCUGCAUCUUCAAGUAUUAAAAAGGAUGUGCGACCAAUGGCAUUAUUGCAAUUAAAUUUAACAAGAGAAGACGAAUCUAAAUUAACACUGGAAUUUGAUAAAAAAGAACUUAUAGAUUUAUAUCAUAAUUUAGAGAGAAUACAAUUACAAUUGGAUACUUUUAAAUAAUAGAACAAGUGAUGCAUUGCCUAUUUCUUCAUCUGUGUGGGGAACAGUAAAUUUACACAUCCAUUUUCCUAAAUCCGAAUAAUUUGGUUUAAAUUCCAAGAAAAUUGAGUAUUCGGUGUACGUGUAUUUGCAUCAAAGACGAUGGGAAUCAGAAACAAGUUGCAAUGAUGUUUUUGUAUUAUUAUUUAUUUAAAGAAAUGGUUUACAAUGCCGGAGAGACUGACACUCAAACGCGCACGUACGAUCCACCGAUCACACCUCGGUGCAGAUUCUUGAAUUGUUCACGUUGGAAACUUAACAAUAAUUCAAUGGCACACGAAGGUGAUGGUCGAUCGAGUGACAGCAAUGAAAACGCAAUAUCAUCCGAAACGAAGAUAAAUAUUUCAAAUGGGACGCUUAACAGUAAGGAUUGUCUUAGCGUUAAUUUUAACAUGUGGCUGUUAUAUAUAAUGAGCAUCAGCAGUAAAGUGGAUAUCGUAGUAUUCUAAUUAAAAAAAAAGAACCUGUUUCUUCGUGAAGUUUUUUUGUAAUGUCAUCGGCACGUUGACUUCUUGUUUAGCAACACGUUGGCUAUGGAAUUAGCCAACUGAUUCGUUAACGGUUCUGUAACGAGUCUAAUCGUUAUUAGCACACUGGAGUCUCUUAAACGAUUUAUUUCGCUUAACAAAUAAAUAUUCUUAAUCUUAAACGUUAAA
This is an RNA transcript of Apis cerana (Asiatic honeybee), 1402 nucleotides long. It is a transcript of the gene named COMM domain containing 10 protein valette, with no coding region annotated. Lineage: Eukaryota; Metazoa; Arthropoda; Insecta; Hymenoptera; Apidae. The record is from RefSeq and is a predicted model, not a curated record.